This 495-nucleotide ribosomal RNA is filed under the name uncultured bacterium. Its description in RNAcentral is "partial 16S ribosomal RNA". It matches the Rfam family "Bacterial small subunit ribosomal RNA", at positions 28 to 507 of the family's 1533-position model. The record is from RNAcentral.
GACGAACGCUGGCGGCGUGCCUAAUACAUGCAAGUAGAACGCUGAAGGAGGAGCUUGCUUCUCCGGAUGAGUUGCGAACGGGUGAGUAACGCGUAGGUAACCUGCCUGGUAGCGGGGGAUAACUAUUGGAAACGAUAGCUAAUACCGCAUAACAGUAGAUAUUGCAUGAUAUCUGCUUGAAAGGUGCAAUUGCAUCACUACCAGAUGGACCUGCGUUGUAUUAGCUAGUUGGUGAGGUAACGGCUCACCAAGGCGACGAUACAUAGCCGACCUGAGAGGGUGAUCGGCCACACUGGGACUGAGACACGGCCCAGACUCCUACGGGAGGCAGCAGUAGGGAAUCUUCGGCAAUGGACGGAAGUCUGACCGAGCAACGCCGUGUGAGUGAAGAAGGUUUUCGGAUCGUAAAGCUCUGUUGUAAGAGAAGAACGAGUGUGAGAGUGGAAAGUUCACACUGUGACGGUAUCUUACCAGAAAGGGACGGCUAACUACGUG